UGAGGAAUUUUGCUCAAUGGGCGCAAGCCUGAAGCAGCGACGCCGCGUGAAUGAUGAAGCCCUUCGGGGUGUAAAGUUCUGUCGACAGGGAAAAUAAUGAUGGUACCUGUAGAGGAAGCACCGGCAAACUAUGUGCCAGCAGCCGCGGUAAUACAUAGGGUGCAAGCGUUGUCCGGAUUUACUGGGCGUAAAGCGCGCGUAGGCGGCAAUUCAAGUCAAACUUUAAAGGCUCCUGGCUCAACCGGAGUUUGGGUUUGAUACUGUUUUGCUAGAGAUUGGGAGAGGAAAGUGGAACAAACAGUGUAGCGGUGAAAUGCGUAGAUAUUGUUUGGAACACCCAUGGCGAAGGCAACUUUCUGGACCAAAUCUGACGCUGAGGCGCGAAAGCGUGGGUAGCAAACAGG
RNAcentral lists this ribosomal RNA (404 nucleotides) under uncultured bacterium. Its description in RNAcentral is "bacterial SSU rRNA". It matches the Rfam family "Bacterial small subunit ribosomal RNA", at positions 355 to 776 of the family's 1533-position model. The record is from RNAcentral.